GCAUAUUCAAUAAGCGGAGGAAAAGAAACCAACAGGGAUUGCCCUAGUAACGGCGAGUGAAGCGGCAACAGCUCAAAUUUGAAAUCUGGCCCUCGGGUCCGAGUUGUAAUUUGUAGAGGAUGCUUUUGGUGCGGUGCCUUCCGAGUUCCCUGGAACGGGACGCCAUAGAGGGUGAGAGCCCCGUCUGGUCGGAUACCAAUCCUCUGUAAAGCUCCUUCGACGAGUCGAGUAGUUUGGGAAUGCUGCUCUAAAUGGGAGGUAUAUGUCUUCUAAAGCUAAAUACCGGCCAGAGACCGAUAGCGCACAAGUAGAGUGAUCGAAAGAUGAAAAGCACUUUGAAAAGAGGGUUAAACAGUACGUGAAAUUGUUGAAAGGGAAGCGCUUGUGACCAGACUUGGGCAUGGUUAAUCAUCCAGCGUUCUCGCUGGUGCACUUGGCCUGCCCAGGCCAGCAUCAGUUCGGCGCGGGGGAUAAAGGCUUCGGGAAUGUGGCUCCUCCGGGAGUGUUAUAGCCCGUUGCGCAAUACCCUGCGCUGGACUGAGGUUCGCGCAUCUGCAUGGAUGCUGGCGUAAUGGUCAUCAGCGACCCGUCUUGAAACACGGACCAAGGAGUCGUCCUCGUAUGCGAGUGUUCGGGUGUUAAACCCCUACGCGUAAUGAAAGUGAACGCAGGUGAGAGCUUCGGCGCAUCAUCGACCGAUCCUGAUGUUCUCGGAUGGAUUUGAGUAAGAGCAUACGGGGCCGGACCCGAAAGAAGGUGAACUAUGCCUGUAUAGGGUGAAGCCAGAGGAAACUCUGGUGGAGGCUCGCAGCGGUUCUGACGUGCAAAUCGAUCGU
RNAcentral lists this ribosomal RNA (836 nucleotides) under Xenoacremonium recifei. RNAcentral's name for it is "eukaryotic LSU rRNA". It matches the Rfam family "Eukaryotic large subunit ribosomal RNA", at positions 38 to 905 of the family's 3401-position model. Lineage: Eukaryota; Fungi; Ascomycota; Sordariomycetes; Hypocreales; Nectriaceae. The record is from RNAcentral.